UAGGGAAUCUUUCACAAUGGACGAAAGUCUGAUGGAGCAACGCCGCGUGAGUGAAGAAGGGUUUCGGCUCGUAAAACUCUGUUGUUAAAGAAGAACAUAUCUGAGAGUAACUGUUCAGGUAUUGACGGUAUUUAACCAGAAAGCCACGGCUAACUACGUGCCAG
Molecule: ribosomal RNA, 164 nt
Filed under: uncultured bacterium
Lineage: Bacteria
Description: partial 16S rRNA
Rfam family: Bacterial small subunit ribosomal RNA
Source: RNAcentral